AGAGUUUGAUCCUGGCUCAGGAUGAACUUUAGCGACAGGCUUAACACAUGCAAGUCGAGGGGCAGCACAGGUAGCAAUACCGGGUGGCGACCGGCGCACUGGUGAGUAACGCGUAUGCAACUUACCUAUCAGAGGGGGAUAACCCGGCGAAAGUCGGACUAAUACCGCAUGAAGCAGGGGCCCCGCAUGGGGAUAUUUGCUAAAGAUUCAUCGCUGAUAGAUAGGCAUGCGUUCCAUUAGGCAGUUGGCGGGGUAACGGCCCACCAAACCGACGAUGGAUAGGGGUUCUGAGAGGAAGGUCCCCCACAUUGGUACUGAGACACGGACCAAACUCCUACGGGAGGCAGCAGUGAGGAAUAUUGGUCAAUGGCCGAGAGGCUGAACCAGCCAAGUCGCGUGAGGGAUGAAGGUUCUAUGGAUCGUAAACCUCUUUUAUAAGGGAAUAAAGUGCGGGACGUGUCCCGUUUUGUAUGUACCUUAUGAAUAAGGAUCGGCUAACUCCGUGCCAGCAGCCGCGGUAAUACGGAGGAUCCGAGCGUUAUCCGGAUUUAUUGGGUUUAAAGGGUGCGUAGGCGGCCUUUUAAGUCAGCGGUGAAAGUCUGUGGCUCAACCAUAGAAUUGCCGUUGAAACUGGGGGGCUUGAGUAUGUUUGAGGCAGGCGGAAUGCGUGGUGUAGCGGUGAAAUGCAUAGAUAUCACGCAGAACCCCGAUUGCGAAGGCAGCCUGCCAAGCCAUGACUGACGCUGAUGCACGAAAGCGUGGGGAUCAAACAGGAUUAGAUACCCUGGUAGUCCACGCAGUAAACGAUGAUCACUAGCUGUUUGCGAUACACUGUAAGCGGCACAGCGAAAGCGUUAAGUGAUCCACCUGGGGAGUACGCCGGCAACGGUGAAACUCAAAGGAAUUGACGGGGGCCCGCACAAGCGGAGGAACAUGUGGUUUAAUUCGAUGAUACGCGAGGAACCUUACCCGGGUUUGAACGCAUUCGGACCGAGGUGGAAACACCUUUUCUAGCAAUAGCCGUUUGCGAGGUGCUGCAUGGUUGUUGUCAGCUCGUGCCGUGAGGUGUCGGCUUAAGUGCCAUAACGAGCGCAACCCUUGCCACUAGUUACUAACAGGUAAAGCUGAGGACUCUGGUGGGACUGCCAGCGUAAGCUGCGAGGAAGGCGGGGAUGACGUCAAAUCAGCACGGCCCUUACAUCCGGGGCGACACACGUGUUACAAUGGCGUGGACAAAGGGAGGCCACCUGGUGACAGGGAGCGAAUCCCCAAACCACGUCUCAGUUCGGAUCGGAGUCUGCAACCCGACUCCGUGAAGCUGGAUUCGCUAGUAAUCGCGCAUCAGCCAUGGCGCGGUGAAUACGUUCCCGGGCCUUGCACUCACCGCCCGUCAAG
Molecule: ribosomal RNA, 1395 nt
Filed under: uncultured bacterium
Lineage: Bacteria
Description: bacterial SSU rRNA
Rfam family: Bacterial small subunit ribosomal RNA
Source: RNAcentral